This 468-nucleotide ribosomal RNA is filed under the name uncultured bacterium. RNAcentral's name for it is "bacterial SSU rRNA". It matches the Rfam family "Bacterial small subunit ribosomal RNA", at positions 32 to 528 of the family's 1533-position model. The record is from RNAcentral.
AAUCAACGCUGGCGGCGUGCCUAACACAUGCAAGUCGAACGAGAAAGUGGAGCAAUCCAUGAGUAAAGUGGCGCACGGGUGAGUAACACGUGACUAACCUACCCUUGAGUUCGGAAUAACUUCGGGAAACCGAGGCUAAUACCGGAUAACAUCUACGGAUCAAAGGAGCAAUUCGCUUAAGGAGGGGGUCGCGGCUGAUUAGCUAGUUGGUGAGGUAAUGGCUCACCAAGGCAGUGAUCAGUAUCCGGCCUGAGAGGGCGCACGGACACACUGGAACUGAAACACGGUCCAGACUCCUACGGGAGGCAGCAGUGGGGAAUUUUGCACAAUGGGGGAAACCCUGAUGCAGCAACGCCGCGUGGAGGAUGAAGCCCCUUGUGGCGUAAACUCCUUUCGACCGGGACGAUAAUGACGGUACCGGUGGAAGAAGCCCCGGCUAACUCUGUGCCAGCAGCCGCGGUAAUACAG